CCGGCMMUAUUGCGCAAUGGAGGGCACUCUGACGCAGUGACGCCGCGUAUAGGAAGAAGGUUUUCGGAUUGUAAACUAUUUUAGUCAGUGAGGAAGAUGACAGUAGCUGAAGAAUAAGCCCCUGCAAACUACGUG
RNAcentral lists this ribosomal RNA (135 nucleotides) under uncultured bacterium. RNAcentral's name for it is "partial 16S ribosomal RNA". It matches the Rfam family "Bacterial small subunit ribosomal RNA", at positions 355 to 507 of the family's 1533-position model. The record is from RNAcentral.